UUUAGAAAAAGGCAAACCUGUUGAAAGGCAGGGACGCAAAGCUAUGGGUCUAAGGGAUUAUCCUACGAUUGCCAGGUUGCCGGA
Molecule: non-coding RNA, 84 nt
Filed under: Peptoclostridium litorale
Lineage: Bacteria; Bacillati; Bacillota; Clostridia; Peptostreptococcales; Peptoclostridiaceae
Also listed under: 1 other name
Description: Clostridium litorale c-di-GMP sequence
Rfam family: c-di-GMP-I riboswitch aptamer
About the family: GEMM was predicted in a large-scale screen for bacterial structured RNA regulatory elements. Genes associated with GEMM are involved in a diverse array of functions, including chemotaxis regulation, signal transduction, secretion and chitin.
Source: RNAcentral